Equus caballus (horse) is the source of this 3121-nucleotide long non-coding RNA. RefSeq lists it as uncharacterized. Lineage: Eukaryota; Metazoa; Chordata; Mammalia; Perissodactyla; Equidae. The record is from RefSeq and is a predicted model, not a curated record.
GCGCGCCGAGCCCCGCCGCCGGCGGCCGCGUUGCAGCCGCUCUUCCGGACACUGCGGCUGCGCGCCGUCCAGCCUGGCCCGUCCGCUCCCCGCUCGGCGGCCGGAGAUGACGCGGCUCGUCUUCCCCCGCGCUCUCGGCGGCCUCACCGCCCGACGCCCUCACUGCCCGCCGCGCAGCGGGAGAGAAGGGCCGGCCCCGCGGGUGGCGCGGGCGGCCAGCGGACUCAGGGCAGUGGGGACCGGCGGGCGGGCGGGAGUCAGCGCGGCAGACUCGGUGCCUCAGGGCGGCGGAAGUCAGCGUGGCGGGCACCCGGGCGGGCGGGCGCCGCCUCCAGAGCUGGGAGACGCUCGGCCUCUCUGACCCAGUGACCCCACUCCAGGAAACGGAGCCUAAGAAACCAACGCACCGGGUCAAACGCUGGGAGCAGGAACAGGGUCGGGAGACUCGUGUGGGAAGAGGUAAGCGAACUGUCAGGCGCUGGGGAAGCGACAGAACGGACGGCGUUCUGGAAUGCUACCCCCGCCCCUGCGGCCACGUGGCAGCGGGUCUGCGCAGGAGACCGGAAGGGAAAAGGCCAAAGGCAGCACUGCGCCAGGGUGGUGCGAUUACGCUUCAAACCCUUGUUAAAAGAAGUCGUCCCAUAAAAAGCUCCCGCAGCGCUACCGGCCACGCGCCGCGGCCCGGGGACAGCGCUGCUCCCUGGCCCGCCCGCCCAGACGACGAGGCGCGGCGUCCGCAUCCGCCGGCGGUCUGGCCUGGCACCCGGCACCCGGCAAGCACCGAGAGGAUGGAAACGCUGGGGCCCGUCGCGGGGGCGCCGGAGAGUCCCGACACCGCCUGGAGAGGGGAAUGAGCUCUGGCCGUCCGGCGGACCGCGCUCCUCUGCCUCGGGGCGGAAGGUGGAGCUCCGCAGCCGCCCCUCCCACGCCUCGACCCGCAGAGCGCCGGCUCAGAUGCGGUCCACUCACAGCAGAGUGGACGAAGCAUUAAUUCACCACCACGCUAAUUUGCAAAUGAUUAACACCACCUGACUGCCCCCGGCACGCCCAAGCCGACCGAAUGCAGCCCGCUAGACGAGCUCCUAGAACGACAGGGAAAGGAACGGCGCCCAGGCGCAGACCUCUGCGCCCCGCCUCUGGCUCGCUUCCUGUCGCGGGCGCCCUGAGGGACGGCCACCCGGAGAACCCAAAUGUCCAGGUUCCACUUCUGGCCCGACGCCCAGCCGGCCCAGCUAGGAACGUACAAGUAACGGAUCUCGACGAUUCCUUCACCUUCUAAGAUGCUCGUAUGCUUCCCCACUGUUAAAACCCACUCUGCCUUUAUCUGAGGAAAAGCAACAUGGCAUUAAUUAAAGCCACAGGGACAGAGACGCGGUCCUUUCCAAGAGGCAAAGGACGGAAGCGUGCAGCAGCCAGCACAGACCCCGUCUGCGGAGGAGGGACGAGCUGACAGUGGGCCCAACACGACCACACACUGUCCAGACCCACAGGAUGGGACAUCCCAUACAGAGAAUGAACUUCAGAGUGUGCCAAGGAUGUCGGAGUGCCAGGACAGAAUGCAGACUGACGGCGUAUUGUGCUGUAUGAUAAAAUGUCUGGAACGACCCCACUGAGCGGGCAGGGGAGCUGCCCUACGUAACUCUGGAAAACAGGGUUUGGAGUAGAAGCAGUGCCAUCUGAGGACAGACGCUGAACUCUCCUCGGUAAUCUGUGUCUCACAAGGGUACAGGGGUGCGGGGGGACAACACUGAACCACGUCACACGUGUAAGGCUGGAGUAAACCGAUGAGCCGGGCAUCUCGUCAUUGGACGGGGUUACAAAUUCACAAAGGGAGGCGGCCAGCCUGACCUGUGGUGCUGAGUUGGCCAUAGAGACGUCUGCAAGAAUUGGCAUGUAGGGGACAACACAGCAGCCACUAGAGGUGGAGUUUGUUCCCACCACAUCGCUUGACUAAAAGACCACUUCCAGAGAACCAAACAACAAAGGGGACAGCAGUCACGUCACAGAGCAGACGCCCAGCAGACACCACCAUGGGACAGUAUGACAAGAUGGGCACUGUACCUCUGGGGUGUUCUCCCCAAAUCACGAGAACACAUCAGAGAGCCCAAAUUGGAGGCAAGCCUACAAAAUACCUGAUCAGGACUCCAAAAGUGUCGAGGUCACCAGAGACAAGCAGAGGCUGAGGAGCUGUCCCAGACCACAGGGGACUAGGGAAACGAGAUGCCUUAGGGUGAGCGGGUACCCUGGAUUGGGUUCUGGAGCUGAAGAGGACACUGAUGAGAAACAGAUGAAUGAAGCAUAUAAUGCAGUGAAUGGUACUGUACCAAUGCCAAUGUCUUAGUUUUGAUAAUUGUACCAGCUCAGAGGAUGUUAACACACAUGGAAGCGAGUGAAGAAUAUUUGGGAACUUUCUGUACCAUCUCUGCAACUUUUCUAAAAACCUAAAAUUAUUCCAAAGUAAGAAGAUUAUUUUAAAAAUAAAGAAUUCAACAGUCGACAAGCCUCCAGCAAAAAGACUAUUCUAAGCUACUUCAUCAGGCAAAUGAAGCACUGACAGGUCCGAACUGCAAAGUCUCCAGGAGCCUGUGACAUGAAAAAACAGCUCUCCCCAGACAGUCAGCAGAGGGCAGCAGGAAAGCCCAGCACAGAUGGGACUGGGUUAACUAUAAACCUAACAAUGAAUGAAGCAAGCCCAACAACCAAGAACAUCUGUGAGAGGCCCAGCAAACAAGUCCUCCAGACUCACGGCCAGGAGCCUGAGAGUCGGAGCGGAGGGCUGGAGCGGGUAACUCCAUGCAAGGUUUGGGGGGGACAGGAAGGAGGUCUGGGUUGCAUCAAAAUAGGACUUGAGAGGCAGUUAUUUGAUGAAAAAUAAAAAUUAAAUGCCAGAGGUUAUGCUUACGGGAAGCGGGUCUGAAAGGGCGUCAGCCGUGGUCCUCCUCUGAGGGUGUCCUGUCUUCUGAUUAGAAGGCCUUUGGUCCCUCGGUUCCAUUUUUCUAAUCUACUCUCACCAACUCCUGGGCCUUCGAGCUCCUGGGUCAGACUAGGCACUGUACAAAGACACUGGUAUGUCUAGUUCUUAAUUCUAAUUUUAGAAGUGAGUAAAAACGAUUAAAUACAA